GACGAACGCUGGCGGCGUGCUUAACACAUGCAAGUCGAACGGUAAGGCCCUUCGGGGUACACGAGUGGCGAACGGGUGAGUAACACGUGGGUGAUCUGCCCUGCACUUCGGGAUAAGCCCGGGAAACUGGGUCUAAUACCGGAUAUGACUGCAGCAUGCAUGUGCUGUGGUGGAAAGAUUUAUCGGUGCAGGAUGGGCCCGCGGCCUAUCAGCUUGUUGGUGGGGUAAUGGCCUACCAAGGCGACGACGGGUAGCCGGCCUGAGAGGGCGACCGGCCACACUGGGACUGAGACACGGCCCAGACUCCUACGGGAGGCAGCAGUGGGGAAUAUUGCACAAUGGGCGCAAGCCUGAUGCAGCGACGCCGCGUGAGGGAUGACGGCCUUCGGGUUGUAAACCUCUUUCAGCAGGGACGAAGCGUGAGUGACGGUACCUGCAGAAGAAGCACCGGCCAACUACAUGCCAGCAGCCGCGGUAAUACGUAGGGUGCAAGCGUUGUCCGGAAUUACUGGGCGUAAAGAGCUCGUAGGCGGUUUGUCGCGUCGUCUGUGAAAACCAGCAGCUCAACUGUUGGCUUGCAGGCGAUACGGGCAGACUUGAGUAUUUCAGGGGAGACUGGAAUUCCUGGUGUAGCGGUGAAAUGCGCAGAUAUCAGGAGGAACACCGGUGGCGAAGGCGGGUCUCUGGGAAAUAACUGACGCUGAGGAGCGAAAGCGUGGGUAGCGAACAGGAUUAGAUACCCUGGUAGUCC
RNAcentral lists this ribosomal RNA (751 nucleotides) under uncultured bacterium. Its description in RNAcentral is "bacterial SSU rRNA". It matches the Rfam family "Bacterial small subunit ribosomal RNA", at positions 28 to 796 of the family's 1533-position model. The record is from RNAcentral.